CCUACGGGAGGCUGCAGUAGGGAAUCUUCCACAAUGGACGAAAGUCUGAUGGAGCAACGCCGCGUGAGUGAAGAAGGGUUUCGGCUCGUAAAGCUCUGUUGCGGGGGAAAAAAGGCAGCAUCAGGAAAUGGGUGCUGACUGAUGGUGCCCCGCCAGAAAGUCACGGCUAACUACGUGCCAGCAGCCGCGGUAAUACGUAGGUGGCGAGCGUUAUCCGGAAUGAUUGGGCGUAAAGGGUGCGCAGGCGGUCCUGCAAGUCUGGAGUGAAACGCAUGAGCUCAACUCAUGCAUGGCUUUGGAAACUGGAGGACUGGAGAGCAGGAGAGGGCGGUGGAACUCAAUGUGUAGCGGUAAAAUGCGUAGAUAUAUGGAAGAACACCAGUGGCGAAGGCGGCCGCCUGGCCUGUUGCUGACGCUGAGGCACGAAAGCGUGGGGAGCAAAUAGGAUUAGAUACCCCAGUAGUC
RNAcentral lists this ribosomal RNA (465 nucleotides) under uncultured bacterium. RNAcentral's name for it is "partial 16S ribosomal RNA". It matches the Rfam family "Bacterial small subunit ribosomal RNA", at positions 338 to 795 of the family's 1533-position model. The record is from RNAcentral.